Molecule: ribosomal RNA, 1469 nt
Filed under: uncultured Bordetella sp.
Lineage: Bacteria; Pseudomonadati; Pseudomonadota; Betaproteobacteria; Burkholderiales; Alcaligenaceae
Description: partial 16S-23S ribosomal RNA intergenic spacer
Rfam family: Bacterial small subunit ribosomal RNA
Source: RNAcentral
AGUUUGAUCAUGGCUCAGAUUGAACGCUGGCCGGGAUGCUUUACACAUGCAAGUCGAACGGCAGCACGGACUUCGGUCUGGUGGCGAGUGGCGAACAGGUGAAGUAACAUCAGAACGUGCCUAGUAGCGGGGGGAUGACUACGCCGCGUAGCUAAUACCGCAUACCCUUCCGGGAAAGCGGGGGGACCUUCCGGGCCUCGCACUAUUAGAGCGGCCGAUAUCGGAUUAGCUAGUUAGGCAGGGUAACGGCUCGCAAGGCGACGAUCCGUAGCUGGUUUGAGAGGACGACCAGCCACACUGGGACUGAGACACGGCCCAGACUCCUACGGGGAGGCAGCAGUGGGGAAUUUUGGACAAUGGAAGCCACAGUCCAGCCAUCCCGCGUGUGCGAUGAAGGCCUUCGGGUGUAACAAGCUUGCACGGCGGGAAAGAAACGGCACGGGAUAAUACCCCGUGCAACUGACGGUACCUGCAGAAUAAGCACCGGCUAACUACGUGCCAGCAACCGCGGUAAUACGUAGGGUGCAAGCGUUAAUCGGAAUUACUGGGCGUAAAGCGUGCGCGGAGAGCGGUUCGGAAGAAGAUGUGAAAUCCCAGAGCUUAACUUUGGAACUGCAUUUUUAACUACCGAGCUAGAGUGUGUCAAGAGGAGGUGGAAUUCCGCGUGUAGCAGUGAAAUGCGUAGAUAUGCGGAGGAGGAACACCGAUGGCAAAGCGGCCUCUCAGGAUAACACUGACGCUCAUGCACGAAAGCGUGGGAGCAAACAGGAUUAGAUACCCUGGUAGUCCACGCCCUAAACGAUGUCAACUAGCUGUUGGGGCCUUCGGGCCUUGGUAGCGCAGCUAACCGUGAAGUUGACCGCCUGGGAAGUACGGUCGCAAGAUUAAAACUCAAAGGAAUUGACGGGGACCCGCACAAGCAGUGGAUGAUGUGGAUUAAUUCGAUCAACGAAAAACACCUACCCUUGACAUGUCUGGAAUCCCGAAGAGAUUUGGGAGUGCUCGCAAGAGAACCGCACAGGUGCUGCAUGGCUGUCGUCAGCUCGUGUCGUGAGAUGUUGGGUUAAGUCGCAACGAGCGCAACCCUUGUCAUUAGUUGCUACCGAAAGGGCACUCUAAUGAGACUGCCGGUAGCAAACCGGAGGAAGGUGGGGAUGACGUCAAGUCCUCGCGAAACAUGGGUAGGGCUUCACACGUCAUACAAUGGUCGGGACAGGGGUCGCCAACCCGCGAGGGGGAGCCAAUCUGACCCGAUCGUAGUCCGGAUCGCGGUCUGCAACUCGACUGCGUGGAAGUCAGAAUCGCUAGUAAUCGCGGAUCAGCAUGUCGCGGUGAAUACGUUCCGGGUCUUGUACACACCGCCCGUCACACCAUGGGAGUGGGUUUUACCGAAGUAGUUAAAGCCUAACCGUAAGGAGGGCGAUUACCACGGUAGGAUUCAUGACUGGGGUGAAGUCGUAACAAGGUAA